UGGUCUUAUAUGAUCUCCCCUAAGCUCUGUAUCUGGGUUUAUCCUAAUUGCUGGUCUUCUAGGUACAUUACCUGUACUAUAAUCUAUUGGUUGGGGAUUAGGGUUUGUUUGUUGGAAUGGGCUAGCACUUGAGGAGCUAGUUGGUUCUAAUUCUGCCAGUUCUUUAUAACUGAUGGUAGAACUUAAUAUAGAGAUUGUG
Molecule: long non-coding RNA, 199 nt
Filed under: Capsicum annuum
Lineage: Eukaryota; Viridiplantae; Streptophyta; Magnoliopsida; Solanales; Solanaceae
Description: long non-coding RNA (CANN_LNC010932)
Source: RNAcentral